This 273-nucleotide ribosomal RNA is filed under the name uncultured bacterium. Its description in RNAcentral is "partial 16S ribosomal RNA". It matches the Rfam family "Bacterial small subunit ribosomal RNA", at positions 524 to 796 of the family's 1533-position model. The record is from RNAcentral.
UACGGAGGGGGCAAGCGUUGUUCGGAAUUACUGGGCGUAAAGGGCGCGUAGGCGGAAUGAUAAGUCAGAGGUGAAAACCCAGGGCUCAACCCCGGGCCUGCCUUUGAUACUGUCAUUCUUGAGUACGAGAGAGGAAAGCGGAAUUCCCGGUGUAGCGGUGAAAUGCGUAGAUAUCGGGAAGAACACCGGUAGCGAAGGCGGCUUUCUGGCUCGCAACUGACGCUGAGGCGCGAAAGCGUGGGGAGCAAACAGGAUUAGAUACCCCAGUAGUCC